GAGGUACUAGUAAAAUGCUAUUACACUGCCUUGUCAAGGCAGAAUUGCGGGUUAAACCCCCACGUACCUCA
Molecule: transfer RNA, 71 nt
Filed under: Ancylopsetta ommata (Gulf of Mexico ocellated flounder)
Lineage: Eukaryota; Metazoa; Chordata; Actinopteri; Pleuronectiformes; Paralichthyidae
Description: tRNA-Asp
Rfam family: tRNA
About the family: Transfer RNA (tRNA) molecules are approximately 80 nucleotides in length. Their secondary structure includes four short double-helical elements and three loops (D, anti-codon, and T loops). Further hydrogen bonds mediate the characteristic L-shaped molecular structure. tRNAs have two regions of fundamental functional importance: the anti-codon, which is responsible for specific mRNA codon recognition, and the 3' end, to which the tRNAs corresponding amino acid is attached (by aminoacyl-tRNA synthetases). tRNAs cope with the degeneracy of the genetic code in two manners: having more than one tRNA (with a specific anti-codon) for a particular amino acid; and 'wobble' base-pairing, i.e. permitting non-standard base-pairing at the 3rd anti-codon position.
Source: RNAcentral